RNAcentral lists this ribosomal RNA (193 nucleotides) under uncultured prokaryote. RNAcentral describes it as "partial 16S ribosomal RNA". It matches the Rfam family "Bacterial small subunit ribosomal RNA", at positions 524 to 716 of the family's 1533-position model. The record is from RNAcentral.
UACGUAGGCAGCAAGCGUUGUUCGGAGUUACUGGGCGUAAAGGGUGUGUAGGCGGUCCUGUAAGUUUGGUGUGAAAUCUCCCGGCUCAACUGGGGGGGUGCGCCGAAAACUGCAGGGCUAGAGUGCGGGAUGGGAGAGUGGAAUUCCUGGUGUAGCGGUGAAAUGCGUAGAUAUCAGGAGGAACACCGGUGGU